AUGGGGGUCAAUUUUACACAGGGCUCUGGUACACCCCUUUGUUAUUGUUUGUUGGCUCAUGUGCAGAUUUGGAUCCAGCAGAAUCUCACUGAUCGGUGCGGACUAUCGCAAUACAAGCUGAGAAAUGGUGCAGCCAGUUUACUCAAAGGAAAUAAUCAGGUGUUCUCCUUGUCACGUCUGGCUCACCUCUCCGAGGGGCUGGCUCAACUGGAUAAAGGUGUGAGCAUUGCAGUCAUCAACUUCCAAAAUGGACGCCAUGUUGCCACAUCGGUAACAAUAGUUUGGAGCACUGAAUAUGGUAACAACUUUUUCUUACAUGAGCCCAGUUAUAUCCCUCCAUGA
RNAcentral lists this ribosomal RNA (342 nucleotides) under Triticum aestivum (bread wheat). Its description in RNAcentral is "partial small subunit ribosomal RNA". Lineage: Eukaryota; Viridiplantae; Streptophyta; Magnoliopsida; Poales; Poaceae. The record is from RNAcentral.